Non-coding RNA from Merluccius polli (Benguela hake), 74 nucleotides. Lineage: Eukaryota; Metazoa; Chordata; Actinopteri; Gadiformes; Merlucciidae. The record is from the annotation of a GenBank genome assembly.
GGUCCUGACUAGCUCAGCUGGUGGAGCAUGGCAUCGACGUUGCCAGGGUGAGGGGUCGAUCCCCACUGGGACCA